GCGGAUGUGGUGGAAUUGGUAGACACGCUAGAUUUAGGUUCUAGUGCCGCAAGGUGUGGGAGUUCGAGUCUCCCCAUCCGCACCA
RNAcentral lists this transfer RNA (85 nucleotides) under Vreelandella aquamarina. RNAcentral's name for it is "tRNA-Leu". It matches the Rfam family "tRNA". From Rfam's summary of the family: Transfer RNA (tRNA) molecules are approximately 80 nucleotides in length. Their secondary structure includes four short double-helical elements and three loops (D, anti-codon, and T loops). RNAcentral also lists the same sequence under 8 other names. The record is from RNAcentral. Lineage: Bacteria; Pseudomonadati; Pseudomonadota; Gammaproteobacteria; Oceanospirillales; Halomonadaceae.